This 253-nucleotide ribosomal RNA is filed under the name uncultured bacterium. RNAcentral's name for it is "partial 16S ribosomal RNA". It matches the Rfam family "Bacterial small subunit ribosomal RNA", at positions 524 to 776 of the family's 1533-position model. The record is from RNAcentral.
UACAGAGGGUGCGAGCGUUGUCCGGAAUCACUGGGCGUAAAGGGCGCGUAGGCGGCCUGAUAAGUAGGGGGUGAAAUCCUGUGGUUUAACUGCAGGGCUGCCUCCUAGACUGUUAGGCUCGAGCACGGUAGAGGCAGAUGGAAUUCCCGGUGUAGCGGUGGAAUGCGUAGAGAUCGGGAAGAACAUCGGUGGCGAAGGCGGUCUGCUGGGCCGUUGCUGACGCUGAGGCGCGACAGCGUGGGGAGCAAACAGG